AUGCGCCCGAGCAGCCAGCCUCCUCCUUCUCCGCCUUGUCAGCAAGGGCGGAAGAGACCUGCCGCCGCUCCGGUUGCUCCGGCGCAUCGUAGUCCUUCUCCUCCGCCUCGUAAGCAAGUAAAGAAGACAACCGCUCCGUCUGCUCUGCCGGCGUCUAGCAGUACAGCCAGAGGCGGGAGGAAAUACAGAUUUGGUCCUUCUCUGAAGACUCCACAGAAGUUACCAUACGAGAGGACCCCGGAGGAGAACACCGAGAUCGCACGAGAAGAAGUGAGGAACUACUUUGAAGGGGUGAAAGCAAAGAAACAUCCACCUCCGGAGGAGAAGGUAGAUCCGGUGAAAGCGAAGCGCACUCUGGCUGCCCUGACAAAAUCACCCAAGUCUCCGCCGAAAGGAAACGAUGACCGCAUUAUUGGAAAGGAAUUUGCCGAAGCGGAGCAGUCGGGAAGUACUGUCAGUGAUCAAAGGCUGAAAGAACGAUGA
This 483-nucleotide ribosomal RNA is filed under the name Triticum aestivum (bread wheat). Its description in RNAcentral is "partial small subunit ribosomal RNA". The record is from RNAcentral. Lineage: Eukaryota; Viridiplantae; Streptophyta; Magnoliopsida; Poales; Poaceae.